AUCCCUGUACGCUUCCAGCCAUUAUCUCCUGCUUGCCAACCUGAUCUCUGACCUGUGACCCAUUUUUGGACCUGAAUAUCCCGACUCAGCCUGCUCCCUGUCUGUUUCCACAGCCCCGGCGGAGCUUCUCUUACGACAUCACGGCCCCUGAAAACCACCCUGCUGGUUUCCAUCCCCUCCGCUGGCUAAGCUGACUGCAAAAACCAGACCUGAUUUCCCCAGAGAAAUUCUCAUCAUCUCAAUAAACACUGUUUUUACCUAUUCCUCAGUUCCAACUUUAUUUGUGGUCCAGUUUGCUGAUUC
This is a long non-coding RNA of Melanotaenia boesemani (Boeseman's rainbowfish), 303 nucleotides long. RefSeq lists it as uncharacterized. The record is from RefSeq and is a predicted model, not a curated record. The transcript is spliced from 3 exons. Lineage: Eukaryota; Metazoa; Chordata; Actinopteri; Atheriniformes; Melanotaeniidae.